UACGGAGGAUGCGAGCGUUAUCCGGAUUUAUUGGGUUUAAAGGGUGCGUAGGCGGAUCGUUAAGUCAGUGGUCAAAUUGAGGGGCUCAACCCCUUCCCGCCAUUGAAACUGGCGCUCUUGAGUGGAAGAGAAGUAUGCGGAAUGCGUGGUGUAGCGGUGAAAUGCAUAGAUAUCACGCAGAACCCCGAUUGCGAGGGCAGCAUGCCGGCUUCCGUCUGACGCUGAAGCACGAAAGCGUGGGGAUCGAACAGG
Molecule: ribosomal RNA, 252 nt
Filed under: uncultured bacterium
Lineage: Bacteria
Description: partial 16S ribosomal RNA
Rfam family: Bacterial small subunit ribosomal RNA
Source: RNAcentral